UACGUAGGGUGCAAGCGUUGUCCGGAAUUAUUGGGCGUAAAGAGCUCGUAGGCGGUCUGUCGCGUCGGAUGUGAAAACCCAGGGCUCAACCCUGGGCCUGCAUUCGAUACGGGCAGACUAGAGUUCGGUAGGGGAGACUGGAAUUCCUGGUGUAGCGGUGAAAUGCGCAGAUAUCAGGAGGAACACCGGUGGCGAAGGCGGGUCUCUGGGCAUUAACUGACGCUGAGGAGCGAAAGCAUGGGGAGCGAACAGG
Molecule: ribosomal RNA, 253 nt
Filed under: uncultured bacterium
Lineage: Bacteria
Description: partial 16S ribosomal RNA
Rfam family: Bacterial small subunit ribosomal RNA
Source: RNAcentral